Molecule: long non-coding RNA, 990 nt
Filed under: Medicago truncatula (barrel medic)
Lineage: Eukaryota; Viridiplantae; Streptophyta; Magnoliopsida; Fabales; Fabaceae
Description: long non-coding RNA (MTRU_LNC003830)
Source: RNAcentral
AAUUAAAAAUUCAUAACCAUAGAUACAUAAGAGUACUCACAUAUUUCUUACGACCAUAUCCCUCAUCAUCAUCACCACGCCUCUCAGAACCAUAGCUCGGUUUCUCCUCAUCAUCACUCCUUCCAUAGCUAGUUUUCCUCCCAUAGCUUGGCUUCUCCUCGUCAUCACUCCUUCCAUAGCUAGGUUUCCUCUCAUACUCAGUCCUCCCAUAGCUCGGCUUCUCCUCAUCAUCACUCCUUCCAUAGCUAGGUUUCCUCUCAUAUUCACUCCUCCCAUAGCUUGGCUUCUCCUCCUCAUCACUCCUCCCAUAGCUUGGCUUCUCCUCCUCAUCACUCCGUCCAUAGCUAGUUUUCCUGCCAUAGCUCGGCUUCUCCUCCUCAUCACUCCUUCCAUAGCUAGGCUUCCUCUCAUACUCACUCCUUCCUCCUCCAUACCCUUCUUCCUCCCCAUAACCACUCUUCUUCCUCCCCGAUCCAUACUCCGAUUCACCACUCUCAUACUCAUUCUUCCGCCCAUAACCCUCACUCUCCUCCUCAUUCUUUCUCCCACCAUAACCAGACCCAUAUCCAGAUUCUUGCUUCCUUCCACCAUAACCAGACCCAUAACCACUUUCCUCAUUCUUUCUACCAUAUUCAGACUCCUGGGCCCCACCAUAUCCUGACCCAUAUCCAGAUUCUUGCUUCCUCCCACCAUAACCAGACCCAUAUUCACUUUCCUCAUUCUUUCUCCCAUACCCAGAUCCAUAUUCACCCUCCUGGGCCCCACCACCACCAUACCCAGAUCCAUAUUCACCCUCUUGCUUCCUCCCACCAUACCCAGAUCCAAUUUCAGAUUCUUGACCACCAUACCCAGAUCCUUGUUUCCUCCCAUACCCACCACCACCAUCACCAGAUUCAGGGUGAAAACUAGAAGGUGCAGGUCUAGGUUUCGGUCUCACAUAGCUACUAUACUCAGUAGCAAGAGCUUCAUCACCAUAAGCAGAAGGUUGAG